AAAAUUAGUUAAUUUAAUAACACAGGCUUGUCAAGCCUGAAUAAUCAUGUCUUGAUAUUUUA
This 62-nucleotide transfer RNA is filed under the name Alpheus brevicristatus. RNAcentral describes it as "tRNA-Asp". The record is from RNAcentral. Lineage: Eukaryota; Metazoa; Arthropoda; Malacostraca; Decapoda; Alpheidae.